GGAGGAGGAGGAAAGAAAGAGAUCACCAGUUAGCUAUAGGCAUGGAGGGAAUAGGCUAUAGGCAUGGAGGUAAUAGGCUAUAGGCGUUAUUAGUCUCUCUCUCUCUCUCUCUCUCUCUCUCUCUCUCUCUCUCUCUCUCUCUCUGCCCCCCCUACCCCCCCCCAACCCCUCGUGUGUGGCAAUGAAUGCGUUUCUCAUCUGCAUGCUUCAAAAAGAGGCUUCCAUCAAGAUAGGCUUUGACGUGACAGACAGACGGGGCGUGUCGGGGCGUAGUAUACAGCUUGGUAAACAGGAGCUGCCUUGUGCUGGUCAACUCGUGUCUAGCAGGGAAAAAAAGACGCGAUUUAGCGGAGUCUUGUGGUCUUGGCGACGGGGCAGGAUAACACUGGGUGGAUGAAAGGUUUAGAGAGAGUGUCGUGUGUGGGUUGACUGUCCUUGCUUCUUAUAUAUUUGCGGGUUGUGUUCAUUUGUGGGGUUUGACAGCGCCGUAGCAAGAGAAAAGAAGAAAGGAAGGAAACAGGGAAGGAAAGGUUUACGAGGAGUUAGGUUAGGUUAGGUUAGGUUAGGUUAGGUUAGGUUAGGUUAUCUUUUAUGCGGGUUGUGUUCUUUUGUGGUUUGAAUUCGCCGUAGCAAGAGUAAAGAAGAAAGGAAGGAAACAGGGGAAGGAAUGGUUUAUAAGGAGUUAGGUUAGGUUAAGUUAGGUUAGGUUAGGUUAUCUUUUAUGCGGGUUGUGUUCUUUUGUGGUUUGAAUUCGCCGUAGCAAGAGUAAAGAAGAAAGGAAGGAAACAGGGGAAGGAAUGGUUUAUAAGGAGUUAGGUUAGGUUAAGUUAGGUUAGGUUAGGUUAGGUUAGGUUAGCUUAUCUUUUUGCGGGUUGUGUUCUUUUGUGGUUUGAAUUCGCCGUAGCAAGAGUAAAGAAGAAAGGAAGGAAACAGGGGAAGGAAUGGUUUAUAAGGAGUUAGGUUAGGUUAAGUUAGGUUAGGUUAGGUUAUCUUUUAUGCGGGUUGUGGUCUUUUGUGGUUUGAAUUCGCCGUAGCAAGAGAAAAGAAGAAAGGAAGGAAACAGGGGAAGGAAAGGUUUAUGAGGAGUUAGGUUAGGUUAAGUUAGGUUAGGUUAGGUUAGGUUAGGUUAGGUUAUCUUUUUGCGGGUUGUGUUCUUUUGUGGUUUGAAUUCGCCGUAGCAAGAGAAAAGAAGAAAGGAAUGAAAAAAGGGGAAGGGAAAGGUUUGCAAGGAGUGUCGUGUGUUGGUUGACUGUCCUUGCUCUUGUUCAUAGGCUCUUUAGGUAAUAUAAUACUAAUAUUCCUUGUGCUCCUUAAUGUUUUGUGUUUUGACUGAACCACAGCAAUACAGAAGCAGAGAAGGAUAACAGUCUGCAAAUGAAAGGUUUAUAGAGACUGUCGUGUGUGGGUUGACCGACUUAGGCGCUUGUAUAGAGACCCAUUAGCUAACAUUCUUUGUGUUAUGCUGUGUUUUUGUGUGAGUUUGUCCCUGCCACAGCAACAGAAAGGCAGAGAAGGACAGUACUCUUCACAUUAAAGGUUCAUAAGUGUUGCCAUUUGUGGGUUGACCGACUUAAGUUAAGCUAUUAAAUAUAGACCCAUUAGCUAACAUUCUUUCUGUUAUUCCGUGUUUUUGUGUGAGUUUGUCCUUGCCACAGCAACAGAAAGGCAGAGAAGGACAGUACUGUGCAAAUGAAAGGCUUAUAAGUGCUGCCGUGUGUGGGUUGACGGACUUAGGCGCUUGUAUAGAGACUCAUUAGCUACCAUUCUUUGUGUUAUGCUGUGUUUUUGUGUGAGUUUGUCCCUGCCACAGCAACAGAAAGGCAGAGAAGGACAGUACUCUUCACAUUAAAGGUUCAUAAGUGUUGCCAUUUGUGGGUUGACCUACUUAAGUUAAGCUAUUAAAUAUAGACCCAUUAGCUAACAUUCUUUCUGUUAUUCCGUGUUUUUGUGUGAGUUUGUCCCUGCCACAGCAAUAGAAAGGCAGAGAAGGACAGUACUCUUCACAUUAAAGGUUCAUAAGUGUUGCCAUUUGUGGGUUGACCGACUUAAGUUAAGCUAUUAAAUAUAGACCCAUUAGCUAACAUUCUUUCUGUUAUUCCGUGUUUUUGUGUGAAUUUGUCCCUGCCACAGCAAUAGAAAGGCAAAGAAGUACACUACUCUGCAAAUUAAAGGUUCAUAAGUGCUGCCAUCUGUACGUUGACCGACUUAGGCGCUUGUUUAUAGACCCAUUAGCUAACAUUCUUUCUGUUAUUCCGUGUUUUUGUGUGAGUUUGUCCCUGCCACAGCAACAGAGAGGCAGAGAAAGACAGUACUCCGCAAAUACAAGGUUCAUAAGUCCUGCCAUCUGUGCGUUGACCGACGUAGGCUAAUGUUCUUUGUGUUCCUUCGUGUUCUGAUGCACAUAUUCUUUAGCCUGGCACCACAUUCUCAAACACUUCGGCGCCCACAGCACACAUAAUCGGCACGCUUUUCCUAGAAGUUUCGGGCAUUUCCAGGGGUAGUUUAAUGGCCCUGGUGGUAGUUUGACCCUUCUUUUAUGCUAUGAUUGUGAAAAAGCACUCAUGAAAACCAGAUUGACCUCUUUUUUGACCUUUGGAAAUAACUGAUGUGAGAGGUGGACGCGUUUGAGAACCCCCCCCCCCCCCUGGUCUCUUUGUGUUCUCGUGUGUUUUGGAUCCUGCAACACAGACAGAGAGGCAGACAGACAGACACAUAUUAAGGUGAGCAGGAUCUGUUAGCCUUCCUUCCUCCUCUUCCCCCUCCUCCUCCUCCCCCUCCUCCUCCUCGUCACCCUCUUAGCAAGCGAGUAAAAUUAGAAUGAGCAGGUCUUGUUGCCUCUCUUUAUGGGACUGUUUUGCUUGGGUCCGGGUCUCCUGUUAUCGCGGAGGAAUUUCUAAUGGACGGCGUUCAUGGCGUCGGGAGUAAUUUAUCGCGUCGUAAACUCACUUAUUCCGAGGGGCGAUCAAUGUAGAUUACGUUAUGUAUUCUUGGUUUUUUAUUUAUGGGGUAUUUAUUCAGUAUUCGGCGCGUGGAAGUGAUAGGUUAAGGUUUAGUCUUGUUUGGUUAAUUACUCUCUCUCUCUCUCUCUCUCUCUCUCUCUCUCUCUCUCUCUCUCUCUCUCUCUCUCUCUCUCUCUCUCUCUCUCUCUCUCUCUCACGUACUUUUUGACUCUCCGGAGCUCAGGUCAACGCAGGUCACCCGGUCAGGUCAACGCUUGCACUCCGCCUAACCGCCUGCUUGUUUUCUGCAGUCGUUUGAGCGUUUCGUUGUUACCCUGCUGCUUCUUGCUGACUAUGUGUGUGUGUGUGUGUGUGUGUGUGUGUGUGUGUUCAGCCCUUCGUGUGUGCUAACCUCUCUUGUUGGACUUGUGCCUCGCAGUCUGGAUAAGUACUGGAUAAGUCUGGAUACGUCUGGAUAAGUUUAGAUAAGUCUGGAUAAGUACUGGAUAAGUCUGGAUAAGUACUGGAUAAGUUUGGAUAAGUACUGGAUAAGUCUGGAUAAGUACUGGAUAAGUCUGGAUAAGUGCUGGAUAAGUCUGGAUAAGUCUGGAUAAGUACUGGAUAAGUCUGGAUAACUCUGGAUAAGUACUGGAUAAGUCUGGAUAACUCUGGAUAAGUACUGGAUAAGUCUGGAUAACUCUGGAGAAGUACUGGAUAAGUCUGGAUAAGUCUGGAUAAGUACUGGAUAAGUCUGUACUAAAUACGCCGUCUGGAUAAGUACUAAAUAACGCUUCCCUACAGAUCUUACCCUUCUUCCCGUAGUAAUCUGUAUAACAAAGACACGCUCACACAUACAUCAGUAAUACUUCUACUUUCCAUGCACUAUAUUUAUUUCUUUACCGAAUUGUUAACUUAAAAAAAAAAUAGUAGACUUUAUAAGCUAUUAUAUAUUUUUGUGUGCUUUCUCGGAACAGGAAUCAGCUGUCCUCGAUUCUCGACCUGUUCGCCUAACCCAGUAUUUGCAUUACCGUUUUCGUAUUGCAACCGGAGUUAUUUUUGUCAGCCUUGUCAUUCCCCAGCGCUCUAUUGAUAAGCGGGCUCUGACUGUAUAAUCACUGUAAAGCAAUUUUUUUUUUACAGCUAAGUAGACAGUUCAAGGGCGUAAAGAAAAAAAAAAAAAAAAAAGCCCGCAAAACCAAGCUGAGUUAGUACACACGUAUGUUACACGGGUAGAUACAUGUCUUUAGGGGUAUGAUAGGUCGCGAGGGCAUGACUUUUAGGUGGCCGAGCGAUGUAAGGCACUAAUGUUUAUAAGAUCAUGUAUAGAAUUGAAAAUAAUGUAGGAGUAGAAACCACACAGGCCCUAAGGCCCAAACUAGGUGGUCUGUCCUGAAUAUAGAACAAAGAACUCAAUACUAGCAAGAAGGGGACGGAGGCAAUACGUGUGCCCUCAGGUGUUGGCCUUCAAGGUGACGCCUCACACGCAUUGGGGGUGUAAUUACAUGUAAGACUGUAUAAUAUAGAUAAACAUACCACGUUUCAAUAACCACAGAGAGAGAGAGAGAGAGAGAGAGAGAGAGAGAGAGAGAGAGAGAGAGAGAGAGAG
Long non-coding RNA from Eriocheir sinensis (Chinese mitten crab), 4545 nucleotides. RefSeq lists it as uncharacterized. The transcript has 4 exons. The record is from RefSeq and is a predicted model, not a curated record. Lineage: Eukaryota; Metazoa; Arthropoda; Malacostraca; Decapoda; Varunidae.